Molecule: ribosomal RNA, 519 nt
Filed under: uncultured bacterium
Lineage: Bacteria
Description: bacterial SSU rRNA
Rfam family: Bacterial small subunit ribosomal RNA
Source: RNAcentral
AGAGUUUGAUUAUGGCUCAGGAUGAACGCUAGCUACAGGCUUAACACAUGCAAGUCGAGGGGCAGCAUUGGAGUAGCAAUACUUCAGAUGGCGACCGGCGCACGGGGUGAGUAACACGUAUCCAACCUGCCGCUUACUCGGGGAUAGCCUUUCGAAAGAAAGAUUAAUACCCGAUGGUAUAAAGAGUUCGCAUGUUCUCUUUAUUAAAGAAUUUCGGUAAGCGAUGGGGAUGCGUUCCAUUAGAUUGUUGGCGGGGUAACGGCCCACCAAGUCUACGAUGGAUAGGGGUUCUGAGAGGAAGGUCCCCCACAUUGGAACUGAGACACGGUCCAAACUCCUACGGGAGGCAGCAGUGAGGAAUAUUGGUCAAUGGACGAGAGUCUGAACCAGCCAAGUAGCGUGAAGGAUGACUGCCCUAUGGGUUGUAAACUUCUUUUAUAAGGGAAUAAAGUGAGGGACGUGUCCCUUUUUGUAUGUACCUUAUGAAUAAGGAUCGGCUAACUCCGUGCCAGCAGCAGC